GACAGAGGGUGCAAACGUUGUUCGGAAUUACUGGGCGUAAAGCGUGUGUAGGCGGUCUCAAAAGUCGGAUGUGAAAGCCCCGGGCUCAACCCGGGAAGUGCAUUCGAAACUGCGAGGCUAGAGUAUCGGAGAGGUUGGUGGAAUUCUCGGUGUAGAGGUGAAAUUCGUAGAUAUCGGGAGGAACACCAAUGGCGAAGGCAGCUCGCUGGGACGGUACUGACGCUGAGGCGCGAAAGCGUGGGGAGCAAACAGG
This 253-nucleotide ribosomal RNA is filed under the name uncultured bacterium. RNAcentral's name for it is "partial 16S ribosomal RNA". It matches the Rfam family "Bacterial small subunit ribosomal RNA", at positions 524 to 776 of the family's 1533-position model. The record is from RNAcentral.